AGGUAAACAUAAAUUUGACAGGAUAUCUAUCGAGGUCGUUUGAAUGAUUUAUAAAUAUUCCAACAAAAGCCACGUCUGUAUAGUGCGCGUAUCAGUUCAUCUAGGUUAUUUCAGUCUCGUAUUGUAGGAGAAGAUUCUGACACGCAAGAGCCAAACAGAGUCAGUUGAUGUGCAGUUCAAAGGCAAAACAAAACAGAGAGCUGGGCAAACACGGACCACUGGACAUACCAGAGGUGGGAUCAGGUGCCUAGGAGGAGUAAGCAUCCCCUGUUGACCGGUCACACUCGCCGUGAGCCCUAUAUCCUGAUCAGUCUGGUCUCGGAAUGUCCUCAAAAAUUCGAAUUAUGUUUCCUUCACUGGACAACACAUGGACAUUGUCACUGGAUUUACCAGCGAUACAGAUAUUACCACCAGAGUCUGCAUCAAGGCCACAUAGAGAUUUACGGUGUGGACUGUCGUAUUUCCACACGGUUUAACCACCAUCUGUAAUAGCCGUUACGACGUGUGUUUUUCUGUUACUGUAUAUUAUGUGUUUUUUUCGUGGCGAUGAUGUGCUUCACGGCAGUCUCUGCGCUGUACUCUUUCACCAUUCUUCCAUAUACUCAUUUAUCUUCGCGAUUUUGUCAUUGCAUGCACAGUAAAAGUAAGCAUCCUUAUUUGCUAUUCCAAAGUGUUUUGGAAGACUAGUUGAUAUCCUCUUUGACAAUUUGAAAUGGGAGUAAAGUGAUACCCUUUCGAUAUAUGUUGAACCGUGGCAUGUCACGAAUAAUUCCCCUGCCUUUUCACACAGACCGAAAGAUUCCGAGAACGAGUCAAUGGAUCGUGUGCACGCAAACAUUUUGUUAUAAAAGAAGCAUUUACCAUUGUUGCUCCCUUUACAACCCCGCUUUUUGUUGACAGCCAUGAUAGAGCGAACUUUCCAUUUGAUAAAAACGUACCAUUACGUACGCACCCUGCAUCAGUGCUAAAAUGAUUUUAUAAAGAUAACUCAACUUUUCUCAGAUCGGACUUGACAUCAAAUACGGACUCUGAAAAUACUGCAUCAGAAAAACUUUCAAGAGCCAUGCUAUCUUCCAAAAUAGGAUCCUUUCGUUCCUUAAGCCCUGUGCGUAUUUGUGUAAAUUCGUAAUUUUUGAGUUGUUCAAAUAUUUUUCUGCUUUUAUAGUCCUUCACAACCAUAUCGAUGUCAUCCUGACUUUUUCUACAGUCCUCAAUAUUUCUGUAACAGUAAUCUGUGCAUUGAAUUCCAUCUGAUAGGAUGUCUAUGCAUUUUUAGUAUUUUUCCUUAUUUCUCUUUCCAGCAGUAGCCAUUUUCGUUAGAUACUCAUUUUUCAGAUACUGCAAGUGAUUAAUAGCAACGCGAAUUUCUCUCGUGGUAUUCUCUGUAAUCUGGUCUGCUUUAGCAUCCAUUUCUGUAACGAACCUUUCUUGUUCCUUCUUUGCAUCUACUAAUUUGUUUUCAAGAAUGUGUGUCUUCUGACAGGCUGUCGAAAUUAUGACUAAGAAUCUCUAUGAGAGUCUCAGCAGUUUUCUUUAUAGCAUCAACACUUUCGAAUGUUCUGUGUUCCGUACUGACACACAUUGCGCAGCAUGGCUCUUCGUGAUCGUUACAGAAUAGCUCUAGUUUUCUAUCCUGAUGUGUUGAACACAUAUUUUCUCUACCAAUUCUCGGUGUAAUAUGCAUUCCUUUCAUUUCAUUCACUGGUACUAUCUUAUGGUCAAGUGUUCUUAGACUUCUUCUAUGAUAUUUUGUACACAAUUUGCACAAAUAUUCCAUGUAAAAGAAACAAAAAUCGGUUGCAUCCUCUACUUCGCUCUGUCGUAAGCAAGCCUGACAGUGUGUUUGUUCUGAUUCCCUUAAAAGUUUUCCCAAUAUAUCGUUUUCAGGGAAAAGUUCUGCCCACUUCUCUGGCUCACCUAAGGUAUUAUCAAUGGGAAUGUACUCACGGCAUAAUGGACAAUUAAAUCCCAAACGAGGCUCCGAAGAUUUACACACAUUUUCAAUGUAGGAAGAUAAACACUCAAUACUUAUUUCCCUUUAUUGACCUCUUACGCACGGUGAGGCGCAAUAUGUUUUCGUAAUCACGCGGUGCGUGCAAAUGCUUAUCGUUGCGAUCAUGUAUUGUCUAAAGGGUGA
Long non-coding RNA from Ostrea edulis (European flat oyster), 2137 nucleotides. RefSeq lists it as uncharacterized. The transcript is spliced from 4 exons. Lineage: Eukaryota; Metazoa; Mollusca; Bivalvia; Ostreida; Ostreidae. The record is from RefSeq and is a predicted model, not a curated record.